Molecule: small nucleolar RNA, 134 nt
Organism: Megalops cyprinoides (Indo-Pacific tarpon)
Lineage: Eukaryota; Metazoa; Chordata; Actinopteri; Elopiformes; Megalopidae
Product: small nucleolar RNA SNORA17
Exons: 1
Source: RefSeq, a predicted model, not a curated record
ACUGCCACUAGAGGCGUUGCAGAGCGACCAUCAGUGUCGUGUCUGUGUCAUUAGUUGGCAGAGAGUGAAAGGCCAUGUCUACGCUCAGUACCCAGAAUGCAGUGGGUGCUCAGAAUGAUUAAUGGCCAGACAUC